Apis cerana (Asiatic honeybee) is the source of this 6231-nucleotide RNA transcript. It is a transcript of the gene named multiple wing hairs, with no coding region annotated. NCBI's taxonomy places the organism in Eukaryota, Metazoa, Arthropoda, Insecta, Hymenoptera, Apidae. The record is from RefSeq and is a predicted model, not a curated record.
ACCGAAACGUAGUGUUUAAACAGCUAUCCGAAAUUCCUAUUUAGAGGAAUUUAAAUAGUUUCUCAUUUAAAAAGACAGAAAAUUUUAAAUACAGUUCUGUUCAAAAAUCGGUCGUUCCAUUAUAGAAAAAGGGGUUUGCUUGAUGGGUUAUUGAAACUGACCCAGUGAAUCGAUCCCUCUUCCCCCCUUCGUUUGCUAGUAUUCGGCGUGACCUAGAGUGCACCGGUGCGACGUAGGUCGUGGCUUGACCCACACACGAUCCGUGAAUCCUUGUGGACAUCGGUGGCGACCGCGAGGCGGGAUAUAGAAGAGGUUGGUUGGAGAGAGGCGAUGCUCACACGUGCACCUCGGGGCAUUCACGAGUUGGCAGUCGGCUGUUGAAACCCGCCCGGUGAAUGCCUCUCCAGCCUCUCCUCUGCACGUAUUUUUAUCGACCUUUCGAUACACCCAUGGGGUUCGCGUACAUGGAGGAAUUUCCAACCUAGGGAUGAAUUAUCGCGCGCGGCUAAAUAAUUCGUCGAUGCUUGGUUCGCGAAAGGAGGAAUGCGAUCGAACGUUGUUGAAAACAUUGAGUGUUGUAGAAACGUCGACACCAGUGACGCGUGACACGGACAUCGAAGAAAGUGAAAUGUGAAUCUAUCGUACGGACAGGAAGCUAUCAGAACGGUCUCUGAACUCUGCUCGUCGAGUUUCACUCGAUCUUCGAAUCGAAUUGCCACAAUUUUGCACCAUGUUCGCGGAGAGAAAUCCAGCGCAAUUAAAACGGCGACACGCAUCGGCGAGGAUCUCAUGCGAGACCGUUUGAGCGAUUGAAUUGUGCAGAUAUUAUGGUUAAACGAGGUUGUUUGUGUUUGUUCGUUGUAAUGGUAGACAUUGUGACCAGCAUACCACUAAGUGAUCGUUAGACCGUGAAUUUAUUUUGAAGCUUGAUCGAAAAAGGAAUAUUCGAUCCGUGAGAAACACGAAAUCGUUAUAGUUUUGGAAAACGAUUUAAGAGAAAACAGAUCUGGCGCAGUGCUACAAAUAACUGUUUCGGGAAAGAAAGAAAUUGCCUUAAACGGAAGAAAAAUGUUCUCCUUGUUUUGAACUCGUAACGUAACAUAAUAACGGUUUCGAGGAUUUUUCGCGUGUCAGUGGAUCAGUAGGUUCUUUAUCCAUAUCGUUUGAUUGGUUUUUUGUAAAAAUUCGCGGAUGAACAUUCCACUCCACGUAUUCAUCGAUUAAUCAAUUUCUGUUUUUCACAGCCCAACAUAAUGUUUAUCAUUCAAACGUAAACAAAUUGAUUCGUCCGAGCGUUCAUUAGAUUCUUAUCGCGACAAAUUGCUGUGGAGCAAUAAAACGAUGGUGUCGAUUCGAUUCGCGCGGCACGGCGCGUGAAUCAUUCGAAAUUCACAUUGGGACGCCGUUAUAUUGCGAGAAAAUUUGCACGAUGAAAGAUCUCUAAUGUGCCACACAAGAAGAUGAAUGGAUGGUCGCGACAGGACGCGUUUCGAAGGAACUUGUUCUUUUCCAACCGAGUGCGCGAACAGGGGCCGUAUAUGAUGGCAGUACACGAUGAACAAGUGUGGGAAUAGUCGAGUCACCGGCUACAGUGACACUAAUCACGUUAACGACACAAGGAUAAUAUGUCGCGUGAAACGUAGCAAGGACACGUGUACCGGUAUCAGUAACGAGACUUUAAUUGUACGUGUUCGCAUCGAGCGGUUCUCGUUUUAAUGGAAGAAAUCUUAAUUAAAUGAAAAUUGAAAUUCAACGGGUACUUGGAGAGUGGAUGCACGCCGAUGUGCAUCGUUAAUAUUACAUAAUCAAAUCCUACUCGUACUUCUGGUGAUUAGUACAAAUAUAGGAUGAAAAUGUAAAAAUAAACGAUUUUGCGUUGAAGUCAGGAGGUAAUUUAUCUACUCUACGAAAAGAUAUGUUAAUAAAAUCGCAUUGGAAAGAUUUCAAUCUUUUUGUCGGUAGAAAAAGAAGUGCAAGCAUAUAUUUAUAAAAAUAGCAAGCAACUAUUUUAUAAAAAUACACCCUUCGAGAGAGUCAGCCGUAAUUACUCAAAUACGAAUACAUUUGCAAAGACAAAGACAAUGGUGGAAUAGGAUGAUGUUGGCGAGACAUUGUGCGAGAAAAAUUCUUCAUUGUUCGAGGAAUGUGGGCGUAUCGAGCAAGAUAUCUAAUCGAUAAGAAAAAAAGAGUACUCUUGAAAGUAAAGAGAAUUACAAAAAAUAUUUUGCACGUUAUCGUUAAUAUUUUUUUUAACGAGCCAAAUUAAGAACAUAGAAGAACAUAGAGAAUUUUAGAAAAUAAUAAAGUAGAAAAUAAAUGAAGAUCUAGUGCAUUUACGUUUCACUUUAUAUGUGUAAAGAUUGUCAAAAUUUUUCCAGUAAUAAAAAAAAUUAUAAUAUUAAUAAUCGCGAAUAAGAAUUGAAUAAGAAAAAUUGAAAUACAAAUCUUUAAAUUGAAGAAUAUCGAUAACUGACAAAAUGGGAAACACGAGAUCGCAACUUUGCCGACGAAGCAAAUCACCUUAUCUUCUCUACCUUAUCCAUAGAACGUGGAGUAUUGUGACCGAUCAUCGGAAAGAUCAAACUCGUUCCGAUGAUACCGAUCGAGAAACUGAUUUAUCAUCGAGAUGCAGUGGUUGCAACAGAUGUGAUUUCGGACAAGACAGUCUUACAUUCGACAGCGAGACGGACAUGGCUCCGAACGCGGAGGAGGAGUUGUUGGUGGUGAAGCCGUGGGGGCCUCAACCGGAAAAGGAACGAUUAAGACCACCUACGUACAACGCCGAGGACUACGCGAUCGCUCUGAGACGAUGGGGAAGACGUCCAUUAGGAAGUGUUCAAGACUCGCAAGGUACUCUGCCCUCGACAACCAGUUCGAGUUCCGGUUACGCUUCCGGAAGCGGAGAGAUGACCUUGAGACAAUUCACCUCGGUUAGCGAGCUUCUGAACAAGCUCAGAGCCGACCUCAGGCUAGCCUUUCCAAGCUUUGUUCAGGAAUUCGCUUCACCGCCAGCUGAUGGGAUAACCUUGUUGCUCGAGACGCUUCGCGGUGUCCAAUUGGCCCAAAGUUCACCACCCUCUUCCGGCCACACGGGCCCAAGAGUAGGAACCAGAAGAGCUGCUUUGGACGAGUUGGGCUGUGUCGAGUGUCUGGCCGCCUGCACCGAACGAUGCACCGAUGCACCGAGGCUCCUAGUGCAAGCUCAACCAGGUCUUCUUGCUCUGGCAGUUUGUCUGACUAGUAGCUUGAACCGGUCUCGAGUCCUAGCUCUCCAGUUGUUGACCAAGGUCUGUCAAACGCCAGGUGGUCACGCGGUAGUUUCGGAAGCUGUCUCCACUCUUAGGUUAAAAUAUGGCGAAGGUGGAAGAUUUCGUUUCCUGGCUGGCGCUCUCUUGGCUCCCAGAGCAGCGAUUGCACUGAGAGUAGCAGGAGUUUCGUUCCUUAACGCCUUCCUAAAGUCUGCACCGCGAACACAAACCAGAUUGUACAUUCAGGCCGAAGCCUGCGAAGCUGGUCUAGAGCCGCAGGUCCUUCAAGAAUGGCUGAAAGAAUUGGACGGGAGGGAAGAGGAUACUUUGAACGAUCUUCUACAUAAGGAGGUUCAGAAAUGGUCGCACAACUGCGUGGACGUGGACGCCCUACAGCGACGUGUCGUACGUGCCGAGGAAACUUGUAGGAUAUUGAGCAAAAAGGUUUCGGCUCUGCAAACGCAGCUUCAACAAAUGCAGUUGGAGAAGUUGAACAAUUAUAAUAACCUAGAGGACCGUGAGAAAUUGACGGCACUUGGCACGAAACAGUCGCCGAAAAUGUCCUCGAACGCGGAAGACGAGGGUAUCAGCUCGUCGGAGAGAUCGAGUAGCCCGGAGAAUACGAAGCAUCAAUCUCGAACGAAUCAAAAAGUAAACGUGUCUCCGGAUAAUGAUCAGGAAACCACGAUCGAUGACGUGAUCGAAGAGCUGAGGAUUAUCGUGAAGGAUGCGGAAGAAGAGAUCGGGGACAAAAACCGGGAACAGAAUCGAAUAGAUCACGCGAAUCCGAAUUUUUAUAACGAAAAUUCUUCGAAAAUUAAGUUACACAGAACCGAUUCGAAAGUUUCUUUGAACAAUUCCGAGACUUACAUUUACGACAAGGUUUUAAAGAGAGAUCAUCAAACGGAUAUCAAGAUUUCUAUGUCGAACACGGGCUCCAACAUGUCUCAGAGUGUGAUCAAAGGAGAGCAAGUGACUUAUUUUGGUAACGAUCGAGAUUAUAGUAUAGAUUCGAGCAGUGAUAAAAGAACGAAUGGUGAAAAACGCAGAGUUUCGAAAUCCUCCUCGGUGGAAGGAAGCGUGAAGAUCGUUGUAAAGGGACCUGAAGUCGAGGAAGCAAUCGUUCCAACUAUUCUACAUCCUCAGCCACCUAGAAGAUCACCGCCUUGUUUGUCGGCUAUCAUGGCAGUAAGGCAUUGUGACUUUAUCGAUCAAGAAGAGCCGUUCAAUUCUCACGAUGAAGAUAUAGAAGACGAAACGUUGGGCGAUGGAAGUGACUCUCUCCUUAGCGCUUCUCGACUCAAGUACAACAGUAAGAACCAGACUUACGAGGAACGGAUUAAAACCGAGGUCGAUCAUUUUCAGAAACAGUGUGAUAGGAAAGAAACGGAGAAUAACAAUGAUGGUAAGAUGAAGAAAAGCUUCACCGAUCUUCGACGCUUCGGUGAAAACGAAAUAAAGGAUAAGAAAACAAUGAGGAAUUAUGAAACCUCGUGUAAUGCGAAAAACAAAACGACGAAUGACUCUAAAUCGAACAACAGGCAAUUGGACGGUGUAUCCCAAAGACAUAAUUCGAAAUAUAGAAGCGAAGUGGAAAAAAGAAAGCUUCUUCGUAGAUCGGCCAGUCACGAUUACCUCGAAUCAAGUGCUUCCAGUUCGCGAUCGAAAAGAUCCAAUAAAAGCAGAAUAGAAAGUCACAUUAGGAAAUUCGAGAGUCUGAAUUCUUUCGACGAGCAUCGAAGUCUCCAGAGUUAUGAGAGACACGGUAGCUCGGAAAAUCUAAGCAAGCAAGAACUUUUUGCAGAAGAGAAUUCGAGGAAUAGAAUGCGCAGAUCAGAAUCCUUUCACCAUGUAUCUUAUAUCGCUAAAAAAGAUCAGUGUUCCUCGCAAGGUGGAAGCGAUAGUGGUUUAUUUUAUGUCACAGAUUUCAAUCUUGAACCUUUAAUAACGCGAAAACCAAAAUCCAUCGAGGCGCCAAAAUCUCCCAAUCUAUUAACCAAAUCUUUGGAUAGAAUCGAUGAAGGUUUGGAUUCGAUGAUCGAUAUCGUGAUCAUGGAAGAGAAAAAUCAAUGGAAUUCGAAUAAAUAUCAAUCCAAAACGAAAAAGUCUCGAGAAGAAAGGACACUUGUUAGAUCGAAAUCGAAUAGAUUGGAAGAAUCGAAAAGUUGUUGUGAAUUUGAAUCCAAGGGGAGGAGAGAAGAAUCAAAGAAUAAACAUUUGAAAAACGAUGAAUUUUAUUCCGGACAUGUAAGCAAUAAGCAAUUAAGAAGUGAUGAAUUGUACGAAGAACAAAGAAAUCGAGAAUGGAAUAAGCUAAAUUCUUCAAGUAAAAACAACGAAUUAGAUUUUGAUUGUACUCCAAUGAUUCUAAUUAAGAAUGGAGUGAGACACAAUUCGUUCAGUCAGAAUGAAAAUAUUGGUAAUAGAUUUUUAAAUAAAUCAAUGGAUUCAGGGAUUUUCGCUGGACGAACUUAUGAUACAUUUGGAUUAGGAAAAAGUCGAUUUAAUGCUGGAAAAUAUUCGGGAAAUCAACAAAUAAAAGAAAGUCCAAUUGGAAGACGAAAUACAGCUUCUUCUGCAAAUGGAAAUCGUGCAAAAGUUACUGAUAUUGUUUCAGGGCUUUAUUAAAAAUAAUCUUUAAAUAAUUAGGAUUAGAUCAUCCAAUCCUGUUCAUAUCCUCAUAGUCUACGAGUGCAAUGUUAUUAAAUAUUAUGGGCGAAGUUAACAAUCUAAUUUAUAUUGUAAUUAACACUAUUGAUAAAUAUUUCAAUAUGAUAUAGAUAGAUAUUUUGGUGAUGGACCAAUUAUACAAAUGUACCAAUUGCAAAGUUUUUUAUGUAUGGACUGUGUAAUAUAUUCUUUUUUAUAUAUAAGGAAUACCUCUAUAAUUAUAUCGAGUUAAAAAAAAAGACUGUAAUUUAUGAAACAUAGAUGUGCAUAAAUAAUAUAACACAUAAAUAUUUACACAAUAUAUUAUUUAUUU